This 137-nucleotide non-coding RNA is filed under the name Liquorilactobacillus ghanensis. RNAcentral describes it as "Lactobacillus ghanensis FMN sequence". It matches the Rfam family "FMN riboswitch aptamer (RFN element)". From Rfam's summary of the family: The RFN element is a highly conserved domain that is found frequently in the 5'-untranslated regions of prokaryotic mRNAs that encode for flavin mononucleotide (FMN) biosynthesis and transport proteins. This element is a metabolite-dependent riboswitch that directly binds FMN in the absence of proteins. RNAcentral also lists the same sequence under 1 other name. Lineage: Bacteria; Bacillati; Bacillota; Bacilli; Lactobacillales; Lactobacillaceae. The record is from RNAcentral.
AGAUUUCUUCGGGGCAGGGUGAAAUUCCCGACCGACGGUGACAACUAUUAGCAAGUUGAAGUCCGUGACCCGCGUAUUGCGGUGGACCCAGUGUGAGUCUGGGACCGACAGUAAAGUCUGGAUGAGAGAAGAAAAUU